CACGUAGGGGGCGAGCGUUGUUCGGAAUUACUGGGCGUAAAGGGCAUGUAGGCGGCCCUAUAAGCCUGGCGUGAAAGUCACCGGCUCAACCGGUGGAUUGCGCUGGGAACUGCAGGGCUUGAAUCAUGGAGAGGGAGCUAGAAUUCCUGGUGUAGGGGUGAAAUCUGUAGAGAUCAGGAAGAAUACCAGUGGCGAAGGCGAGCUCCUGGCCAAUGAUUGACGCUGAGGUGCGAAAGUGUGGGGAU
This 245-nucleotide ribosomal RNA is filed under the name uncultured bacterium. RNAcentral's name for it is "partial 16S ribosomal RNA". It matches the Rfam family "Bacterial small subunit ribosomal RNA", at positions 524 to 768 of the family's 1533-position model. The record is from RNAcentral.